RNAcentral lists this ribosomal RNA (759 nucleotides) under Fuscopannaria confusa. RNAcentral's name for it is "SSU rRNA". It matches the Rfam family "Bacterial small subunit ribosomal RNA", at positions 406 to 1212 of the family's 1533-position model. Lineage: Eukaryota; Fungi; Ascomycota; Lecanoromycetes; Peltigerales; Pannariaceae. The record is from RNAcentral.
GGAAGAAGGUAUAGCAAUAGCUAAUUGUAUUAGCAAAUAGUUUUUACAAUAUCGAUUUAAUCGACUAAAAUUCUAGGUAGAUUUAUGAUGAUGACAUUAUCUAUCUAUGUGUCUUGACCAAAUUUCGUGCCAGCAGUCGCGGUAAGACGUAAGAGACUAGUGUUAUUCAUCUUUAAUAGGUUUAAAGCGUACCUAGACGGUAAUUAAAGCCUAUAUCAGGAACUUGUUUACUAGAGUUAAAUGUAAGGGUGUAUUAAAGUACUGUUGAGUGUAGAGAUGAAAUUCGUUGAUACCAAAUAAUUGGCACAGGUAUAGGCGAAAGCAUCACUUUAUGUAAUAACUGACGUUGACGGACGAAGGCUUUGUGUCGCGAACAGGAUUAGAUACCCCAGUAGUCUUAGCAGAAAACUAUGAGUGUCAUAGGUUAGAUUUUAUUUGGUCUAUAAAUGAAAGUGUAAGCACUCCACCUCAAGAGUAAUUUGGCAACAUUGGAACUGAAAUCAUUAGACCGUUUCUGAAACCAGUAGUGAAGUAUGUUGUUUAAUUUGAUAAUCCGCAAAGAACCUUACCACAAUUUGAAUAUAAAUGAUUUAUUUUUACAAGCGUUGCACGGCUGUCUUCAGUUAAUGUCGUGAGAUAUUGGUUUAUUCCAUUAAAUUAACGUAAACCCGUACUUUAUUUUUAUAUAAAGUUGUUCAUUCGCUAUAAUGGAUGUGAUAACAGGGACUAAGACAAGUCAUCAUGGCCUAAAUAUUGUGG